RNAcentral lists this small RNA (1409 nucleotides) under Pan troglodytes (chimpanzee). Its description in RNAcentral is "retained intron". The record is from RNAcentral. Lineage: Eukaryota; Metazoa; Chordata; Mammalia; Primates; Hominidae.
CACGGCUCUGCUUGCUGCUCCCACCUGCUCCAGUUUAAAACCUGCGGUUCCAGGGUUCUCCAGCCCCUCCCUUUCUCACGCUCCGAAGCCGAGAAGGCCCAAAGCGAAGACAGAGAGGACCCGGAAGUAGGGAAAACCUCUGAGCACGUGAUGGGGGAACACGCGGGUGCUGUCACGUGAUCCGACAAACGGCCUCUGCAUAGUGCAGAACAUUCUGCUGCUCUUAAAGACCCUCAUCCCUCCCGUGGGAGCCCCCUUUGGACACUCUAUGACCCUGGACCCUCGGGGGACCUGAACUUGAUGCGAUGGGAGGCUGUGCAGGCUCGCGGCGGCGCUUUUCGGAUUCCGAGGGUGAGUAUUCCCGCCCACCCUCAUGGAACGACCACCUCUGGCUCGCAGCCCACCUGAGGGGAAUGAGAGCUGACUCGGCCCCGGGAGGACACGCAUGGAGCGGUCGUGCACCUGAGAGUAGGUGGGGGUCAUGCCCUCUUCUCGCUCUCCCAGGGGAGGAGACCGUCCCGGAGCCCCGGCUCCCUCUGUUGGACCAUCAGGGCGCGCAUUGGAAGAACGCGGUGGGCUUCUGGCUGCUGGGCCUUUGCAACAACUUCUCUUAUGUGGUGAUGCUGAGUGCUGCCCACGACAUCCUUAGCCACAAGAGGACAUCGGGAAACCAGAGCCAUGUGGACCCAGGCCCAACGCCGAUGCCCCACAACAGCUCAUCACGAUUUGACUGCAACUCUGUCUCUACGGCUGCUGUGCUCCUGGCGGACAUCCUCCCCACACUCGUCAUCAAAUUGUUGGCUCCUCUUGGCCUUCACCUGCUGCCCUACAGCCCCCGGGUUCUCGUCAGUGGGAUUUGUGCUGCUGGAAGCUUCGUCCUGGUUGCCUUUUCUCAUUCUGUGGGGACCAGCCUGUGUGGUGUGGUCUUCGCUAGCAUCUCAUCAGGCCUUGGGGAGGUCACCUUCCUCUCCCUCACUGCCUUCUACCCCAGGGCCGUGAUCUCCUGGUGGUCCUCAGGGACUGGGGGAGCUGGGCUGCUGGGGGCCCUGUCCUACCUGGGCCUCACCCAGGCCGGCCUCUCCCCUCAGCAGACCCUGCUGUCCAUGCUGGGUAUCCCUGCCCUGCUGCUGGCCAGCUAUUUCUUGUUGCUCACAUCUCCUGAGGCCCAGGACCCUGGAGGGGAAGAAGAGGCAGAGAGCGCAGCCCGGCAGCCCCUCAUAAGAACCGAGGCCCCGGAGUCGAAGCCAGGCUCCAGCUCCAGCCUCUCCCUUCGGGAAAGGUGGACAGUGUUCAAGGUUCGGAUGAUGGCUGGGGUAUGUCCCUGUGGGGCUUGCUCACCUCCAGGCCCCCCGCUUAUAUCUUCUGCCUUUUCCAGGGUCUGCUGUGGUACAUUGUUCCCUUGGUCGUAG